Long non-coding RNA from Esox lucius (northern pike), 1663 nucleotides. NCBI's taxonomy places the organism in Eukaryota, Metazoa, Chordata, Actinopteri, Esociformes, Esocidae. The record is from Ensembl.
UAAUCAGUUUCCAAAAAAUUGGUACAACUUGAAAAAGGUUGUGCUAUCAAUUAACAUUAAUGGAAUGUGAAAUACUUUUAUACGAGAUUGGUGAUAUAGAUGACAGAUCAUAGUGCAGUAAUAGGAAAAUAAAUUCAGCAGUGGGACAGUCAGAGCAGAUGGUUAGUGGGCCAGAAUAUACACAUAUUAAUACAAAUAGUGUACACUGCAAAUGUACCACAACAAAUCCCAACAUUUUAUUAUACGACAAAGUAACAAACAAUUUAAGACAUUGAUUAGAGUUUACAGAGGCAAUGAGGUUUUUUUAAUGGGAAUACGCAGGAACAGAUUUCAGAAAUUAAACUAUUUUUAGCUUCCUCUCUCCCUCUGUUUUUGACCCCACACAGCCAUCUUUUGCUAUCACAAAUUUAACCAAAUGUUCCUUGAAUUAAAAUGAUUGCCUGUCAAUAACCAUUAAUAUUAAUGGUGCAUAUUGAGACAAGAGCACAUAUGAUUAUCGAAUUUAAAAAUGGUGCUGCAUUAAAUAAAAAUAAAAUAUUUAAACCUUCCAAGCGUAUAUCACCCCUCCGACAAAGACUUACUAUACUAAUGUACAAGGCUAAAAAGAACCUUAACACAUACAGUCCCCUCAAACAAAGGAUGCUGCAAUUGGUCCUUCAACAGAAACUGUGCUUGAACAUUCACAAUACAUUCUUCUUGUGUUUACCAUCCUUACAUGUCUCCCUACUCUUUUGUCUUAUACAUUUUCAAUACACUAUCCUACUUUUAUUUAAUUAACUUAUUGUAAUUAUAUAAUACUUGUUCAAAGGAUUUGCUCUAUGCUUGGGAAACUAGAAUAUCCUUGGCUAAUGUUUGUUAACUUUUUGGGUCCUCAUACCUAGUGAUGGCCAAACAAGGCUUAAUUUGCAUUGUUUUAGCUGCAGGAUAUUAUGCUGGCAGCACUCAGAUUUUCUUUAUCACAAUAGUUUGUUAGCAGUUUAUGAGAGAAAAGGAUAAUUGCCCAGGAGAUACAAUUAACUUAACCGGAACGUUAAGACAAAAUUCACAACACCUUAAUUUCUACCCAUACCACUCACUCUUUCACAUUUCUUUAGCACUCAUCCUCCUGGGUUUCAUAUUUGAUGAACCAAACCAUUUUUGCUGCUUUUAAAACAAAAGAUUAAGAGCGACACCCCAUUCCUUUUUGGAAAAUUAAACAUACACAAAACAGUAUAAAACCACUGCUCCUAAAGCAUUAAAGGGAUAUUUCAGAUUUUAGCAUGUAAGACCUCAUUUUACAAAUACUUUUAGUCCGGAGGCAACAUUCAGACAAUAGUUUUCAUUGAAGUUCCAUUUAAGAGAUUUCUUUGGCUUUCUUUUAUUACUGCAUCAUCAUGAACCAUCUUUGCCCUUCCCUUCCCUUAAUGCCCUUUUCAUAAAUCAGGGCACUGUUAAUCUGGCAUAGCCACAUACACCUCCAAAAUUCCAGAGCUUGGUUUUCAAUUAUAUUAUACAGUGUUGACAACACUUUCUUGAACUACAUUGUUUAAUCUGUAUUUCAGUAUGUGUAGCCACGCAGCCUGUGUAGACAAGCAAGAGAAGACGCCUUCUCCAUUUCGUCAACAUACCAAGAAUGAAGAAGCUAGUCUGUUUUCUUCAGAUACACAACUAGUGAUGAUUGUAG